GAACGGGUGCUAGCUGCCCGCAAGGGUGGCUAGCGCUAGUGGCGGACGGGUGAGUAACACGUGGGCAACCUGCCUGAGAGUGCGGAAUAACCCUGCGAAAGCAGAGCUAAUACUGCAUGUGGUUGUCGGAUGGCAUCAUCUGACAACUAAAGUCGCAAGACGCUCUCAGAUGGGCCCGCGGCCUAUUAGCUAGUUGGUGAGGUAACGGCCCACCAAGGCGAUGAUGGGUAGCUGGUCUGAGAGGACGGACAGCCACACUGGGACUGAGACACGGCCCAGACUCCUACGGGAGGCAGCAGUGAGGAAUUUUCCGCAAUGGGCGAAAGCCUGACGGAGCAACGCCGCGUGAGGGAUGAAGUCUACUAGGGAUGUAAACCUCUGUUGGGUGGGACGAAGAUCUGACGGUAUCACCUGAGGAAGCCCCGGCUAACUACGUGCCAGCAGCAGCGGU
RNAcentral lists this ribosomal RNA (451 nucleotides) under uncultured bacterium. RNAcentral's name for it is "bacterial SSU rRNA". It matches the Rfam family "Bacterial small subunit ribosomal RNA", at positions 64 to 521 of the family's 1533-position model. The record is from RNAcentral.